AGCUUUGUGCAGUGGCAGUAUUGUAGCCAAUGAGGUUCACCUGAAGCGCAAUUAUUGUUAAUUGAAAUCUUAUAAUGCAACACGGAAGCAGGCCAUAUUUAAGCAUCGUUUUCUGGCUGUGAGGACCCAAAAC
Molecule: small nuclear RNA, 133 nt
Filed under: Octodon degus (degu)
Lineage: Eukaryota; Metazoa; Chordata; Mammalia; Rodentia; Octodontidae
Description: U4 spliceosomal RNA (ENSODEG00000022826.1)
Rfam family: U4 spliceosomal RNA
About the family: U4 small nuclear RNA (U4 snRNA) is a component of the major U2-dependent spliceosome. The structure of U4 snRNA from yeast and human has been reported.
Source: RNAcentral